GAAUAAACGCUCAUUCCGUAAAGUUAAUUGACCCAAUAAAAAUGGUAAUAUAUUAUCUACGACGAAGUUUUUGAAAUAAUUUAAAACUUUACAAUGACUUUGGUAUUUGGUGAAAUUAGAAACAAAUCAAAGGGAUCGCUCCUAACAGGAACUUGAACAUGAUUGAAUUUGCGGAGUUGAAGAAAAUCUUGAGCGAGAAAGUAGACAAAUGGGACGUGAUUCAUACAAUAUUAGCGCCGAUUGAAAUUUACGGUUGUUGGCAUUUGAUACAGCUAGACAUAACGAAGAAGAAGUACAUACACUGUUGUCCGUACGAAGAC
Molecule: long non-coding RNA, 320 nt
Filed under: Zostera marina
Lineage: Eukaryota; Viridiplantae; Streptophyta; Magnoliopsida; Alismatales; Zosteraceae
Description: long non-coding RNA (ZMAR_LNC002867)
Source: RNAcentral